GGCUCAGGAUGAACGCUGGCGGCGUGCCUAAUACAUGCAAGUCGAACGCACAGCGAAAGGUGCUUGCACCUUUCAAGUGAGUGGCGAACGGGUGAGUAACACGUGGAUAACCUACCUCAAGGUUGGGGAUAACAUUUGGAAACAGAUGCUAAUACCGAAUAAAACUUCGUAUCGCAUGAUACAAGGUUAAAAGGCGCUACGGCGUCACCUAGAGAUGGAUCCGCGGUGCAUUAGUUAGUUGGUGGGGUAAAGGCCUACCAAGACAAUGAUGCAUAGCCGAGUUGAGAGACUGAUCGGCCACAUUGGGACUGAGACACGGCCCAAACUCCUACGGGAGGCUGCAGUAGGGAAUCUUCCACAAUGGGCGAAAGCCUGAUGGAGCAACGCCGCGUGUGUGAUGAAGGCUUUCGGGUCGUAAAGCACUGUUGUAUGGGAAGAACAGCUAGAGUAGGGAAUGACUUUAGUUUGACGGUACCAUACCUGAAAGGGACGGCUAAAUACGUG
This 504-nucleotide ribosomal RNA is filed under the name uncultured bacterium. Its description in RNAcentral is "bacterial SSU rRNA". It matches the Rfam family "Bacterial small subunit ribosomal RNA", at positions 21 to 507 of the family's 1533-position model. The record is from RNAcentral.